This 450-nucleotide ribosomal RNA is filed under the name uncultured bacterium. Its description in RNAcentral is "partial 16S ribosomal RNA". It matches the Rfam family "Bacterial small subunit ribosomal RNA", at positions 338 to 795 of the family's 1533-position model. The record is from RNAcentral.
CCUACGGGGGGCUGCAGUGGGGAAUUUUGCGCAAUGGGCGAAAGCCUGACGCAGCAACGCCGCGUGGGUGAUGAAGGUCUUCGGAUCGUAAAACCCUGUCGUUGGGGACGAAGGUGGGGGCGUUAAUAGCGUUUCUGCUUGACGGUACCCGGAGAGGAAGCCCCGGCUAACUCUGUGCCAGCAGCCGCGGUAAUACAGAGGGGGCAAGCGUUAUUCGGAAUGAUCGGGCGCAAAUGUCGAGUACGGGGUUGUAAUCCCCGAGCGCAACCUGGGAACUGCAUCUGAGACUGGAAGGCUAGAGGACUGGAGAGGGUGGUGGAAUUCCUCGUGUAGCGGUGAAAUGCGUAGAGAUGAGGAGGAACACCAGUGGCGAAGGCGGCCACCUGGACAGUAACUGACGCUGAGGCGCGAAAGUGUGGGUAGCAAACAGGAUUAGAUACCCCUGUAGUC